Molecule: unclassified non-coding RNA, 218 nt
Filed under: soil metagenome
Description: partial contains 5.8S ribosomal RNA, internal transcribed spacer 2, and large subunit ribosomal RNA
Source: RNAcentral
AACCUUAUGGACCUGCGGGCGUAUACCUGCGGAAGGAUCAUUACAAGUGACCCCGGUCUAACCACCGGGAUGUUCAUAACCCUUUGUUGUCCGACUCUGUUGCCUCCGGGGCGACCCUGCCUUCGGGCGGGGGCUCCGGGUGGACACUUCAAACUCUUGCGUAACUUUGCAGUCUGAGUAAACUUAAUUAAUAAAUUAAAACUUUCAGCAACGGAUCU